This 465-nucleotide ribosomal RNA is filed under the name uncultured bacterium. RNAcentral describes it as "bacterial SSU rRNA". It matches the Rfam family "Bacterial small subunit ribosomal RNA", at positions 338 to 795 of the family's 1533-position model. The record is from RNAcentral.
CCUACGGGUGGCUGCAGUGGGGAAUUUUGGACAAUGGGGGCAACCCUGAUCCAGCAAUGCCGCGUGAGUGAAGAAGGCCCUCGGGUUGUAAAGCUCUUUUGUCAGGGAAGAAACGGUCUACUCUAAUACAGUGGGCUAAUGACGGUACCUGAAGAAUAAGCACCGGCUAACUACGUGCCAGCAGCCGCGGUAAUACGUAGGGUGCAAGCGUUAAUCGGAAUUACUGGGCGUAAAGCGUGCGCAGGCGGUUUUAUAAGACAGAGGUGAAAUCCCCGGGCUCAACCUGGGAACUGCCUUUGUGACUGUAAGGCUAGAGUGUGUCAGAGGGGGGUAGAAUUCCACGUGUAGCAGUGAAAUGCGUAGAUAUGUGGAGGAAUACCGAUGGCGAAGGCAGCCCCCUGGGAUAACACUGACGCUCAUGCACGAAAGCGUGGGGAGCAAACAGGAUUAGAUACCCAAGUAGUC